AUUCUGUAUAGUGAAAUCCUGGGUCAGAUGAACGAUGCAGGCAGGUUUAGCACAUGCAAGUCGAGCGAGUGAGAUAGAUUUAUCCCGAUCUUAGCGACUGACGCGUGAGUAAUGCUUACAAAUCUGCGUAAUAGUGGGGGCAACAUUUCGAAAUGAAUGAUAAUACCGCAUACGUCAUGCGGGAGAAAGCAGGGGAUCUUCGGACCUUCCGCUAAUAGAUGAGCCUAAUUCCGAUUAGUUAGUUGGUGGGGUAAAGCCCUCCCAAGCCGACGAUCUGUAGCGGCUCUAAAAGGAUGAUCCCCCCCCCUGGGAUUGAGCCACGGCCCAGAUUCUUCCGGGAGCCACCAGUGGGGAUUUUUGGCCAAUGGGGGCAAUCUUGAUCCAGCCAUGCCGGGGAGGUGAGGAAGGCCUUAUGUUUGUAAACUACUUUAAUAGAGGAGGAGGAUACUUUAGUUAAUAACUAGAGAUAGUGGCCGUUCCUCGCCGAAUAAGCACCGGUUAAUUCUGUCCCACCAGCCGCGGUAAUACAGAGGGGGCAAGCGUUAAUGGGAUUUUCUGGGGGUAAAGCGCGCCUAGGCGGUUAAUUAAUUCAAAUGUGAAAUCCCCGAGCUUAACUUGGGAAUUCCAUUGGAUAUUGGUUAGUUAGAGUGUGGGAGAGGAAGGUAGAAUUCCAGGUGUAGCGGUGAAAUGGGUAGAAAUUGGGAGGAAUCCCGAUGGGGAAGGCAGCCAUUUGUCUUAACACUGACGCUGAGGUGCGAAAGCAUGGGGAGCAACCAGGAUUAGAUCCCCUGGUAGUCCAUCCCGUAACCGAUGUUUAUUAGCCGUUGGGGCCUUUGAGGCUUUAGUGGUGCAGCUAACGCGAUAAGUAGACCGCCUGGGGAGUACGGUCGCAAGACUAAAACUCAAAUGAAUUGACGGGGGCCCGCACAAGCGGGGGAGCAUGGGGUUUAAUUCGAUGCAACGCGAAGAACCUUACCUGGCCUUGACAUAGUAAGAACUUUCCAGAGAUGGAUUGGUGCCUUCGGGAACUUACAUACAGGUGCUGCAUGGCUGUCGUCAGCUCGUGUCGUGAGAUGUUGGGUUAAGUCCCGCAACGAGCGCAACCCUUUUCCUUAUUUGCCAGCGAGUAAUGUCGGGAACUUUAAGGAUACUGCCAGUGACAAACUGGAGGAAGGCGGGGACGACGUCAAGUCAUCUUGGCCCUUACGGCCAGGGCUACACACGUGCUACAAUGGUCGGUACAAAGGGUUGCUACCUAGCGAUAGGAUGCUAAUCUCAAAAAGCCGAUCGUAUUCCGGAUUGGAGUCUGCAACUCGACUCCAUGAAGUCGAAAUCGCUAGUAAUCGCGGAUCAGAAUGCCGCGGUGAAUACGUUCCCGGGCCUUGUACACACCGCCCGUCACACCAUGGAAGUUUGUUGCACCAAAAGUAGCUAGCCUAACUGUUAAGAGGGCGGCUACCACGGUGUGACCGAUGACUGGGGUGAAGUCGUAACAAGGGUAACCGACCUCUUUGCAC
RNAcentral lists this ribosomal RNA (1517 nucleotides) under Acinetobacter sp. Its description in RNAcentral is "partial 16S ribosomal RNA". It matches the Rfam family "Bacterial small subunit ribosomal RNA". The record is from RNAcentral. RNAcentral also lists the same sequence under 1 other name. Lineage: Bacteria; Pseudomonadati; Pseudomonadota; Gammaproteobacteria; Moraxellales; Moraxellaceae.